AAUGUCGUAGUGUUCGAUUGACAGGGACCCGGGAAAGAGAUAAGGGAUUCGCGGUUUUAUUCCCGGCGUGUGAAUUCGACGAUUCGAUGGUCCAUCUGUCGUUUAAUGCGUGUGAACGAUGAUAAGCCGCUUCGAGGAAAUGAAUAUUGGAGUCAUGAAUAUGGAAAGGCGUUUUAAUUACGAGGGGAGACAAAAUGUACUCUCUUACCUGAUAGCAAUAGAAGAAGAAGAAAACGGAGGAAACUGGAAAAAGACAAGCUCGAAGUUGGAGAAAAAGGAGGGUAGGAGGAGGCUGGACAGUGAUUUCGUCCAUCUCGAUAGACGGAGAAAACGGCAGGUGUUCGUUGCGGAGCAGCUGCAAUCACGACCACCAUCUGCCGCAGUAAUGCACGCCUCUUCCAAGUCUUCCAGUCUUGGAGAAGCGAGACUCGUUGCCUGAGGCAUCCAUCCUCAAUUAGACGCCACCUGAAACACGUGCCCUUCUCGAAUCCAUGGAUUUCGAUGGCUUCUUUCUUCUCCACCCUUAUCUCCUUCUUUUUCUCAUUCCUCUUCUUGCUCGACUUCGCUCCUCUUUACCGGUUCUCUGCUUCGUAUCUCCACGUUCCAAGGCUUCCUUCCUUUUUUCGACGCCACGCGUCAUUAUCUUUCGCUUCCUGGUAUAGUGUCGAUGUCAUCGAUCACCGAUCCCCGUUUUUCGCGGCGACAGUUGGCAAGCACCAGGCUUUGCGUAAGCGUAAAAACAGCUCUGACACGUGCUGUCGUUGAAAAUGUGAAUCCGAAUAAGAGAUCCUGGAUAUCAUGUUACCGCUCGAUGAUUAUCUGGUCCGCAAGCUAACCUUUCGAAAUAAAGUUGCUAAUUUUCUAAGAUCAA
Bombus pascuorum is the source of this 871-nucleotide long non-coding RNA. RefSeq lists it as uncharacterized. The transcript has 3 exons. The record is from RefSeq and is a predicted model, not a curated record. Lineage: Eukaryota; Metazoa; Arthropoda; Insecta; Hymenoptera; Apidae.